Molecule: transfer RNA, 67 nt
Filed under: Embiotoca lateralis (striped seaperch)
Lineage: Eukaryota; Metazoa; Chordata; Actinopteri; Embiotocidae
Description: tRNA-Tyr
Rfam family: tRNA
About the family: Transfer RNA (tRNA) molecules are approximately 80 nucleotides in length. Their secondary structure includes four short double-helical elements and three loops (D, anti-codon, and T loops).
Source: RNAcentral
GGUAGGAUGGCUGAGUUAAGCGGUGGAUUGUAGCUCCAUAUACAGAGGUUAAAACCCUCUUCUUAUC